This 244-nucleotide long non-coding RNA is filed under the name Phoenix dactylifera (date palm). RNAcentral's name for it is "long non-coding RNA (PDAC_LNC019939)". Lineage: Eukaryota; Viridiplantae; Streptophyta; Magnoliopsida; Arecales; Arecaceae. The record is from RNAcentral.
AGAUUACAGCCGGUUGUUUUACAAGCUCACAACCCAACUUGUUGUUUUGCGAGAUCACAACGAACUCGGUCGGUUUUCACAGGCUCACCGACUAGAACCAACCGAUUGUUUUUCCGGGCUCACAAUCCAACCCAGUUGGUUUUUCCAAAGGCUCACCAACCACAACCUUACAACGAUUGUUUUUCGGAUUCACAAUCAACCCAGUUGGUUUUCCCAAAGGCUCACCAACCACAACCUUACAACG